This 99-nucleotide small RNA is filed under the name Sinorhizobium meliloti 2011. RNAcentral describes it as "putative ncRNA". Lineage: Bacteria; Pseudomonadati; Pseudomonadota; Alphaproteobacteria; Hyphomicrobiales; Rhizobiaceae. The record is from RNAcentral.
UCGAGCCGGUCAGGCCUGGCGCUCGGGAACAUGAACGACGAGCCCAUCCAGAGCUUCGCUCAUCUUGAUCUGACAGGAGAGACGCGAGGUCGGACGCAC